CACAUUAGAUUGCUACUGAAACUUUUCAACACUGAACAUUUCACUGAUUCCCUUUUCUCUGCCAUCUGUGUGAUCUGGCCUCUUUCCAAAUAAUGCUGCUUUCCCAGUGGAUGUGGUUGUCCUGGUACAAGAGUUUUCAGUCAGGCUUUUCACACCAGCUGCUCAGAUGGAGAAAACAGCACUUGGGAGUCAGAGAGCAAAAGUGUUCAGUGAAGAAGUUUAUUCAUGAGGGAAGAGUUUCAUUGGUGUUGGAAGGAAAACACAGAAAAGUAAACACAGCCCACUAGAUUACAACAGGGAUCACAUGGAAGAGGAGGAAAAUUUCUGCAACAAAAUUUGAAGAUACAUUUUCUCUUUAAGAAAAAUAUAAAGAAG
This 375-nucleotide long non-coding RNA is filed under the name Parus major (Great Tit). Its description in RNAcentral is "lncRNA (ENSPMJG00000018574.1)". The record is from RNAcentral. Lineage: Eukaryota; Metazoa; Chordata; Aves; Passeriformes; Paridae.